AAGCCCCUGUGAGGGGGUGAAGCCCCUCCACGGGCAGAGCGCCAGGCAGAGAGCCCCGCACAAAGCGAACUUUGUGUGCGGCGCUCACGUGAGGCGCUCGGGGCCCUCGGAAUCCCGAGGGAUCAGGCACUGAGGUUGGAAAAGACCUCUGAGAUCAUCGAGUGCAGCUUGUGACCGAUCACCACCUUCUCCACCAGACCACAGCCAUGAGUGCCAUGUCCAGUCGUUCCUUGCACACCCCCGGCGAUGGGGACUCCUUCCCUGGGCAGCCCUUUCCGAUGUUUUAUCGCCCUUUCAGUUAACAAAUUCCUCCUGGUGUCCAGCCUGAGCCUCUCCUGGCCCAGCCAGGGGCCGUUCCCUCUCCUCCUGUCCCUGUUCUCCGGGAGCUGUAAAUUCGGAAGGAAAAUCAGUUAGAUUUAACUCGCAUUUCCUUACCCAGGGAGUAAAUCUCAAAAGAGUGAUUGCGUUAUUGUUCUCAAGCCUAAGCUGAGUACUUAUUUAGGUUAAAAAUAGCUAAAAAUCAUAUCUGGCCAAGCUUUGGUGCUAGGCCAUUUCAUCCAUCUUAAGCACUUUCUUCUUCAACAGUGAAGGUCAAUACAUAAUCCAUCAAAGAUGUGUUUCAUGGUAAAUUUAAAUACUUUUGAAAUGCAAUGUAGUAAAAACUGCGUCAAUUAAACCACCAUAUAUUUUGUUCUUCUGAUUUUUAUCAGUCAUGUCACCAGCACUGGAGUAGGCAGUGUGUGGUAACCCUUAGGAGCAGCAGCUCCCCAAUUACUGCUGCUGUUAGCAGAGCUGAUAAAGGCAAUUAUGCCUGGAAACAAUUAAUUGUGUUAAAAGAGCCUAAGUUACAUGCAUCACUUGGCAUGCAGCACCUUCCUGGCCUGCUUUUGUCCCUGCGUGGGUGUGGGUGUGUGUAUUAUUUCCGUGUGUGUAACUCUGGAGAGAGAGCCAAAAGGAGCCAGGAGCCAAGGGAGCAGGGGAGGGAAUGGCCACAUGGUCCUUGUCCUUUGGAGUUGAUAUUUUUGAUCUAACUGGGAAAAAAAAAAAAAAAAAAAAAUCCAUAUAGUGACCAAAUACAAUUCUGAUGCAAUGAAAUUGCAGUCACACUCAGGAAGUGACCCAGCAGUUCCUGGCAGGACACUGUGAUGACGUGACAGCUUUAUGGUUGUUCUUUUGUCCUAUAACUAAACUCAGCUCCCCACACCUCCCACCCUCCUGAAAACCUUCUUUGUCAUUAUUAUCCACAGGGAAUAACAACCAGCAAGGUGACCCUGCUAGAGGAAGCCUUCCAGCCCUUUUGGCAGCUGGGUGCAGAUCCGAGGGUGCGCUCAGAGGGAGUUUUACCACUGCCUCGCUGUGUGAUCCUGAGUGGAGUUCUCAGAUUCUCUCAACCGUGGUGCCUUUUGCUGAAAAAGUGGGAUAAUAAGAACUGUUCAGUCACAGGUAGGAGGGUGCCUUCCCGUUCUGCAGUCUUCAUGGAAGAUAAAGGUUUUGUGACAGCACAUCACUGGGACAGGAUAUGAAGGAUUGCAGAUAAACCAGGAUUUUGGGCUACAGGGUUUAUCAAAUAUUGCAGUGCUGCAGGCUGGGAUUUAUCAUCUCCCCAGGCUUGGUUCCUAUUUGCCUUUGCUGAAAUCCUUUUGAAGGGUGACAGCAAUCGAGUACAUUAGAACUGUAAGCAGGCAAAGUACAGAAGUCAGGCUUUCUUAUUACAGGAGAAAUGGAAUAAAAAAUUGUGAAGAUUACAGGGGAAACCAUGUCAUGGUGAAUAAGAAGUCAGGCUCCAGUCUUGGGGAGAACUGGCAUCCAGACUGGUUUAAAUAAGAUGCUAGAUUUUUUUUUUUUUUUCCUAUUUAAACUUGAUCUUGAAUUUCCUCCUGUUACCUCAUAUCCUUUUAUGGUCAGUAGCGCUGCCCUCAUGCAUAUUUAUUAGAUUUAGACAUAUUUUGCAAGUCACCUUCACAUCUUACUUUCUUUUCCUGGACAAACAGGUUGGUUAUGUACACAUUGGAUUUGCAAAUCUCAUCUCUGGUGUACAUUAACCCCUAUUAGUCUGGUUGCUCAAUGUGCAGAUAAGUUUUGGGGCUUAUUUGCAAUUUAACUUCCUUCUGUAUAUUAAGCACAGCCCAUACUUCUGUUUAGUUUUCACAACCCAGAUUCCUUCACACAUGGACAUGACCUGCAUAUUCAGCAUCCUGGCAGAGAAACAGCUGUUCUGUGUGAGAGAUCAGUGCCCCUGCUGUCUGAGAGAGAGCAGGAAUUAGGUGUUUGUAAUGUACUCCUUCCUUUCAGGGAGCUGCAGGUGUCAGAAAAGCAGCAGGUUUAUUUACCUGCACUUAUUUUCUUUGCCUUAAGCUCACAGUGAAUUUGGAAUAGAAGAGGUAGAUUUUGUUUUUUCUCCCCAGACUAAACCACAUCUCUGAACCCGAGCUAGAAGCACUUUGUGUUUGCUUGUGGCACUUCCAGACCUGCUGAAGGCCUAGAAAGAGCAGCCACUGAAACACACAGUUGGUUAUUGAGGCAGAAGUUGGUGUGGCAGGGGACAAGUUGUUGGAAUAAACACAGCUGUGUUUUUUUGUUUUUUUCCAUCACUGUGUGCUCAUUUACUGGGUCAGUCAGCCACAGACCCUGGCUGUGCAAAGGUACAGGGUAAAUCCCUGUCCCUGGGGAAGCACUGGGGACUGUAGGAUCCACUCUUCUCAAAUUUCACCUUGGAUGGGGUUCACUGUUGUUUAAAUCAAAUAAAGCUGUGGUUAUACCUAUUA
Molecule: long non-coding RNA, 2765 nt
Organism: Vidua chalybeata
Lineage: Eukaryota; Metazoa; Chordata; Aves; Passeriformes; Viduidae
Exons: 3
Source: RefSeq, a predicted model, not a curated record